UACGGGGGGGGCAAGCGUUGUUCGGAAUCAUUGGGCGUAAAGCGUGCGCAGGCGGUUAUAUAAGACAGUUGUGAAAUCCCCGGGCUCAACCUGGGAACUGCAUCUGUGACUGUAUAGCUAGAGUACGGUAGAGGGGGAUGGAAUUCCGCGUGUAGCAGUGAAAUGCGUAGAUAUGCGGAGGAACACCGAUGGCGAAGGCAAUCCCCUGGACCUGUACUGACGCUCAUGCACGAAAGCGUGGGGAGCAAACAGG
RNAcentral lists this ribosomal RNA (253 nucleotides) under uncultured bacterium. Its description in RNAcentral is "partial 16S ribosomal RNA". It matches the Rfam family "Bacterial small subunit ribosomal RNA", at positions 524 to 776 of the family's 1533-position model. The record is from RNAcentral.